This is a non-coding RNA of Podarcis lilfordi (Lilford's wall lizard), 122 nucleotides long. Lineage: Eukaryota; Metazoa; Chordata; Lepidosauria; Squamata; Lacertidae. The record is from the annotation of a GenBank genome assembly.
UGUCCAGUAGCACCUUAGAGACCAACUAAGUUUGUUCUGGGUAAAAAUCUGAAGAAGUGUGCAUGCACACAAAAGCUUAUACCCAGAACAAACUUAGUUGGUCUCUAAGGUGCUACUGGACA